This 3007-nucleotide long non-coding RNA is filed under the name Triticum aestivum (bread wheat). RNAcentral's name for it is "long non-coding RNA (TAES_LNC007577)". The record is from RNAcentral. Lineage: Eukaryota; Viridiplantae; Streptophyta; Magnoliopsida; Poales; Poaceae.
UUGAGUUAGCAAAUAAUGACCAGUUAACAAUGUUUUAUUUGAUGAUUCAGGACAAUAUCAGCCGGUUCAUUGAUCAAAGUGGUGGGAAGCUCCCGAAAACACCCUUUCCAAACAGAAUUUAUUUUUGAGAUCUCUUUAUUUUUCAUCAUUAUGAAGGUUGAUUUUACCUGUUUCACUUGAAUGGUGACCUUCCCACACUCCCAAUUUUUGCUUAGGAUUCUCGUUUAAAUGGUGAGCGCUCAGAUUCUGAAUGUCGGAUCUUUAGUACUGUUUAUUAUUUUAAGAAAAUAUGAGUAAUGUGAUUUUGUUCUCUAGAGACUGGAAUUGAAUAAUAGGUCCUUUUGGUACUGUCAUCUUACCAUUUGUUCCUAACAGAUGCAUGGGUUCGACUAUGCAUUAUCAUAUGUUUUGUUUCAAAGGUAAUAUGCCCUAAAUCAUUUACUGAACUUUCAGUUCUUUUUUGGAACCAGGCGAGUAUAAACAAUUUGUUAUCUGCCAUCCUAAAUUGUUUCCCAUGCCAUCCAUGUAAGUUUUAGUACCUUUCCAUGUAGGUAGUGGGCGAUCAAGUGUGUGCAUUUCAUGACAUAAAUUUACUUUGUUUUGUUUCAAAGGUAAUAUGCCCUAAAUCAUGUACUGAACUUUCAGUUCUUUUUCGGAACUAGGUGAGUAAAAACAAUUUGUUAUCUGCCAUCCUGAAUUAUUUUCCAUGCCAUCCAUGUAAUUUUUAGUACAUUAUACUUAGUUUGGUGUAUGAGAGUAGUUUGUAACUGAAGAAUGGCUGCAACUGGUUCAGUGACUAAGAUUAUUUCAGGAAUAAUGUACAUUUGGUGCUCCCAGCACUUAAUUUUGGACGUUGAAUACUACUCUUGCUUUGACAACUCACUGAUUUUAUUAGGAAACCUUAUCUGUUAAUACUUUCUUGUCAAACUCACAACAAGUUAUAAUAAUCAAACUAUAUAGUGAUGUUGAGGGAUUAACCAGGACAAAUGCUAGCCAACGUCCCAUUGAGUAGGCCUUCCCAGGCUCCUUGAGUAGCUGGCUCCACUGGGUACAUAGCCGAUUACCUUAUGUGUGGUUUCUUUAAUCACCGAUUGGUUAUUGGGAAUCCGAAUCUGCGAUUAGUAUGCAGUAGUAAAGAGGUUUCUGUUUGCAAAAGAAAGCAAGUUUAUGUACUUUGUCUCCACUGCCAGCAUAGAAAAAUUGUUUAUGUUGUAUUGCUGGGAUAAAUGUGUCUUAUACGUUGUUUUGUUCUUAUAGUCACAACCGAGAUAUUGUGGUGCUUGAUUUCUUCCUAUGUAUUUGUUUUCUUUUUCGUGAUUUCCUAUAUAUUUGUUGUAUAAACUGAACCUAAUUAACGUGUGUAAUGAUGAAGCACGUUGGGUGCAGAUGAGGAUGAAAUGAGCCAGGGAGAAAUAUUGCUGGUAGAAAAACAGGCCUCCCAUGCCAUCCUGACCAAAAAUGUAUUCCCCGAUUUGGUUAAACAGUCCUGUAUUAGCCCCUGGCUGCCUCAACUGGUGGAUGCCGUCGGCUGCCCAAUGACCAUCAACACAUAUGAGCUCGGUUUAAUCAGAGGUGAGGCCUUGCUUCUUCUGCAGUUUUCUUCUCUUCUUUUGUGUGGAUUUGCAUCUAGCAAAAUUGAAAUUUCAUGGUGGGUCAGUUUGGAGGCUUCAUAUUUCACAAUUAUUAUUGUGUGGUUCACCCUAGAAUUUGAUUUUAACGCGUGCUUGCGCAUAUUUGGUUAGGAUUUUCAUGCUUGUUUUUAUAUGUAAUUGCUAUGUUUCGAGGCUACUUAUUUUAUUUAACCCAUUAUUUGCCAUUUGAAAAUAAUUUUGGCAUUGACAGUUGCUAAUUACAAAUGCUUAUCAUUGGUUACCGUGUAAUUCUUGCUUGGUUUUUGGUGCGAUUUCAUCUUAGUUUAUACUUGUGUAUGGACCACCCACGUUUUGUGAAACAAUAGUACACCCAAAAGGAGAAGUUGUUGAGAUGAUAGUCAUGACAACCUAUAACACAGGCGCUGUGCUUGAAGCUCAUGAGUAAGAAGACAAGAAAAAACCAUGCUAAAGCUGGAGGGAUUCGCAGAAAAUGCAUAUGAAAAAAAUCACUAGGAAAUCUACCUUCACUACAUUUUGGAGUGUAGAACAUGGACCAUAUGGGUCCAAGUAGAGAACAUAAAUAUCCACUGCUAUUUCUAUUUUCAUCAGUAAAUUUUGAUAUUGUUUCGGACAAUAGAUAACCUAGGCUUCGUAGCUGGUAAUAUUUAUCAUAGUUUUAGUCUAAUGUACUUUUCUGUAGCAGUGCUGCCAUGAAGUUCAGUCUACAAACCUCUGUUGUGUAAACAUAGUGCUGAUCUGCUGAACUAAAAUUAUGGCCCUGCUUACCUGUGGUGCUGCACUUUACAACAAUUCUACUUGUUCUUUCAUAGCCCACCUUAUGUGUGCCAUCUUCUACUCUUCCCUCCAUCUCAAAAUAAGUUCUCAAGUUUGUACUAACUUUAGUACGAAGUUAGUACAAACUUGAGUCACUUAUUAUUGUUCCAUGGUUUUUUUAGUUAUUGAUGAUGCCAUUUUUCUUUCUGCCUUUGUAGCUGAAAGAUUAGUGAGACUGACUAAAUUCUGAACAUGUUCCAUGUGAGAGAAAUAGCAUGUUGAUUUCAUCUUGAAAUAAUCAUAGCUGAGGGACGAGUCCGUAACUGAGGGUCAUGUGCAGAGCUGGAGGAAGAAGUUGCGAGGCUUGGAACUCUAACAGCAGUGAGGACAAUGCCUCUUUAGUUGUAAUUGUGAUACUCCUGAUGUGCAAGUAAACACUCCUGUGACACUCCUUAUGCUAAAAUGUUGGUUGUUAGUACAGAGGUGGUAACAUUAUUUGGUUCUCUUGUAUUGAUUUCAUAAUACAUGAUGUAAUACAAUCCACAUUGCAUUAUAUUUCGAGUUAUAUCUCCUACUUACUCACUACUAACAUUCUUUCUAAUUCGCUUCUUGCGCCAUUGGCGCAACCGGGUCAUCUAGUA